GGAAAUCUGGACUUCAGAGAUCUAGUUCCACCUCCUGAACCAAAAUGCCUUCUUUUCUAAGAUGAAUACUGCAAAGGGCAAUAAGAAGAAGCUCUUCAAGGAUCAAGAUCUGAGGCAAUAUUUCAUAAAAGAUCACCUUAUGUGGUAGUAGUCUGGAGAUCCCAAAGUAUCCACCAAAGAAAAGUUCAAGAAUGGAUGGUGCCCUAUGUCAUGUUUAUGGCAGGUAAGGACUCACAUUUCUGGUAGAAAUAUCAUGGUGCUUUUUGCGCUAUACUGCAACUUUCAGGGCUGACUACUUAAGUACUAAGAUGAAAACUUUGUAAUAUUUCAGUAGAUAGUUUUUGGCAUGCAUUUGAGAUACAAUGAAGAGAUUUCCCUGAAGUACAGAAGGGACUUGAUCAUACUUCUAACAUCAAAUUACUGAGAAAGUGAGUCCCUUUGAAACAUCUAUUGUAUAUGGUCAGAAUAAUCCUUACAAAAAUAUCAUUCUUUCACAAAAGAAGUGUGAUUCCAAACCACUAAAAAAACUAACAUAAAUAUGUCCACAGCUUUAUUGUUUAUGUGAAAAGUGAAGGAAGAAAGCUGAAUUUGAUGAAAAUCAGUAAAUGAGCUACUCAGGUAAAAUAUAUAAGCAAAAAACCCCAUAAUAACCUGGACCACCCUGUUUGGGAAGAAAUUACUAAAGGUUUGCAGUGUAGUAGUUACUAGAGCUAUCCAGUGUAGUGGAAAGGAGGAAAAAAGAGGGAAGCAGAAAGGGUGUUCUUGAAAACUUGUUUUAUAGGUCAUUUGCUGUUUUAACAUCCCUUCUCCAUACUUCUACUUGUACUAUUUAUCAGUGAAACUAACAUGCAGAAGAAGGCAGGUAGGUACAGAUGAAGACAAAAAAAGAUAAACUGGUUUAAUUGACCAACUGUGCUACUGAGAAGUGAUUAAGGCUCCAUCACUAAAAGAAAGCAGUCAUUUAGAGUUAGAACAUAUUAGUACAACUAGUACAGUGCUGUGUACACAGAAGUUCCAUAUUUCUUUUGAGAUUUUAUAUUUGUCUUCCCAGCACCUUGUAUGAUAUUUGGCAUAUGGCAAAUGCUUGGUUAAUGCUUGUUGUUUGAAGAUAAUUUAUUAUGGCCAUUUAAACAAUGAGAUGAUCACAUUUCAUAAUCAAAAAUAGAUAACAUUCUUAUGACAACUUUCUGAGGAUAAAAUGUUCUUUCCUGGUUAAAAAAAAUAAAUAUAUUUACUUUGUGUACA
This 1245-nucleotide long non-coding RNA is filed under the name Monodelphis domestica (gray short-tailed opossum). Its description in RNAcentral is "lncRNA (ENSMODG00000048817.1)". The record is from RNAcentral. Lineage: Eukaryota; Metazoa; Chordata; Mammalia; Didelphimorphia; Didelphidae.